RNAcentral lists this ribosomal RNA (552 nucleotides) under Escherichia coli. RNAcentral's name for it is "bacterial SSU rRNA". It matches the Rfam family "Bacterial small subunit ribosomal RNA", at positions 84 to 632 of the family's 1533-position model. The record is from RNAcentral. Lineage: Bacteria; Pseudomonadati; Pseudomonadota; Gammaproteobacteria; Enterobacterales; Enterobacteriaceae.
UUGGGUGACGAGCGGCGGACGGGUGAGUAAAGUCUGGGGAUCUGCCUGAUGGAGGGGGAUAACUACUGGAAACGGUAGCUAAUACCGCAUGACGUCUUCGGACCAAAGUGGGGGACCUUCGGGCCUCACGCCAUGAGAUGAACCCAGAUGGGAUUAGCUGGUAGGUGAGGUAACGGCUCACCUAGGCGACGAUCCCUAGCUGGUCUGAGAGGAUGACCAGCCACACUGGAACUGAGACACGGUCCAGACUCCUACGGGAGGCAGCAGUGGGGAAUAUUGCACAAUGGGGGAAACCCUGAUGCAGCCAUGCCGCGUGUGUGAAGAAGGCCUUCGGGUUGUAAAGCACUUUCAGCGGGGAGGAAGGCGAUAAACUUAAUAAGUUUGUUGAUUGACGUUACCCGCAGAAGAAGCACCGGCUAACUCCGUGCCAGCAGCCGCGGUAAUACGGAGGGUGCAAGCGUUAAUCGGAAUGACUGGGCGUAAAGCGCACGCAGGCGGUGUGUUAAGUUGGAUGUGAAAUCCCCGGGCUCAACCCGGGAACAGCAUUCAAAA